This 553-nucleotide ribosomal RNA is filed under the name uncultured Bifidobacterium sp. Its description in RNAcentral is "partial 16S rRNA". The record is from RNAcentral. Lineage: Bacteria; Bacillati; Actinomycetota; Actinomycetes; Bifidobacteriales; Bifidobacteriaceae.
GGUGUUCUUCCCGAUAUCUACACAUUCCACCGUUACACCGGGAAUCCCAGUCUCCCCUACCGCACUCCAGCCCGCCCGUACCCGGCGCAGACCCACCGUUAAGCGAUGGGCUUUCACACCGGACGCGACGAACCGCCUACGAGCCCUUUACGCCCAAUAAUUCCGGAUAACGCUUGCACCCUACGUAUUACCGCGGCUGCUGGCACGUAGUUAGCCGGUGCUUAUUCGAAAGGUACACUCACCCCGAAGGGCUUGCUCCCGAUCAAAAGCGGUUUACAACCCGAAGGCCUCCAUCCCGCACGCGGCGUCGCUGCAUCAGGCUUGCGCCCAUUGUGCAAUAUUCCCCACUGCUGCCUCCCGUAGGAGUCUGGGCCGUAUCUCAGUCCCAAUGUGGCCGGUCGCCCUCUCAGGCCGGCUACCCGUCGAAGCCAUGGUGGGCCGUUACCCCGCCAUCAAGCUGAUAGGACGCGACCCCAUCCCAUACCGAUAGAAUCUUUCCCGGAAGGACAUGCAUCCAACCGGAGCAUCCGGCAUUACCACCCGUUUCCAGGAG